This 253-nucleotide ribosomal RNA is filed under the name uncultured bacterium. RNAcentral's name for it is "partial 16S ribosomal RNA". It matches the Rfam family "Bacterial small subunit ribosomal RNA", at positions 524 to 776 of the family's 1533-position model. The record is from RNAcentral.
UACGUAGGCAGCAAGCGUUGUUCGGAGUUACUGGGCGUAAAGGGUGUGUAGGCGGUUGGAUAAGUGUGGUGUGAAAUCUCCCGGCUCAACUGGGAGGGUGCGCUACAAACUGUCUGACUAGAGUGUGGGAUGGGAAAGUGGAAUUCCUGGUGUAGCGGUGAAAUGCGUAGAUAUCAGGAGGAACACCGGUGGCGAAGGCGGAUCUCUGGGCCAUUACUGACGCUGAGGAGCGAAAGCGUGGGGAGCGAACAGG